RNAcentral lists this long non-coding RNA (10109 nucleotides) under Sorghum bicolor (sorghum). RNAcentral's name for it is "long non-coding RNA (SBIC_LNC018650)". The record is from RNAcentral. Lineage: Eukaryota; Viridiplantae; Streptophyta; Magnoliopsida; Poales; Poaceae.
AGCUGAGUAUUACCAUAUCUUCUCUCUGUCGAAUCUGUUGCGAAGUCUGAAUUGAACUGUGGUCUUGGUCUGGAUCGAGUAGAGUUCCAAUCUGAGUUCAAAAAGAAAGAUAACUCUACUUGUUCGGCCUUACUCUAGAGAGAGAGAGAGAGAGAGAGUGGAGCGAAAAAAGUGUGUGGAGCGAAUUGCUCUUUUGUAUUCUUUUGUUCAUAUAAUCAGUUUUUGAGGUUGCCCAAAAAAAAAGAAAAAAAAAUAAAAAAAAGAAAAGAGAAAAGAUUCAAAAAAAAGGGGCUGUUUUUCAUAUUGAUUUUAGGUUUGUCCCACCUUGUUUUCGGGGGUGUGCUGUGGUUUUCCUUUGUGUCCAGGCUCGCGUCUCUAGCACGGUCUAGCCUAGGACCAGCACAGUACCAUCGUCGAACGCUUAUUCAGCUCGCUUUUAUAACUAAUGUGGUGCUAGUUCAUUCCUUGUUUCAGCCCACCUAUAGCUCCACAUACUCUACAGCUUGACAGGUCUUGUGCUGCAGCACCGAUACACUUCGUCCAUUGCUGUACACUUGUUGCCAGACGACCCCUCCUGUCAAGCAAGGUAAGAAUUGGUAAGAACUUGUGUUACAGGUUGAGUGUGAGCGACUUGCUGUAGCUACAUCCUAGUAGUUGUAGGGCUUUUAUUUCUUCACUUGCCUUUUUGUUGUCUUUGUCUUUGAACCAUGCCAGGGGCAGAUGAUGGUAACGAAACACCACUUACACCUCGCACUAAGGGCAUCAUACAACAUUUUGAAAGGAAAGUGAAGCUGCACACAGAGGGACUUGAUAACGACUUGCAGGUGACGAAUGAAAAGCUGGGGCAGUUGGAGGCUACGCAGAUUGCCACAAACAACAAGCUCACAAGUUUGGAGGAAUCCGUUGCUAGUGUGGACAAAAGCCUUGCUGCUCUCCUAAGGCGAUUUGAUGCUUUCCACACCGAAGAUAAAGAGAAGCAUAAAGAAGAAAAGGAGGGAGAUCGAGAGCACGGUAGUCAUGAAGAUGACUACACUGGUGAUACUGAACAUGAUGAUCAAGACACUCGUGAUCGACGUCGCCUUCGUCACAACCGUAGAGGUAUGGGUGGCAACCGCCGACGCGAGGUACACAAUAAUGAUGAUGCUUUCAGUAAGAUUAAAUUUAAGAUACCCCCUUUUGAUGGUAAAUAUGACCCUGAUGCUUACAUCACUUGGGAGAUUGCUGUUGAUCAAAAGUUUGCAUGUCAUGAAUUUCCUGAGACUACACGUGUUAGGGCUGCUACUAGUGAGUUUACAGAUUUUGCUUCUCUUUGGUGGAUAGAAUAUGGAAAGAAAAAUCCUAAUAACUUACCUAGAACUUGGGAUGCGCUGAAAAGGGCCAUGAGAGCUAGAUUUGUUCCAUCUUACUAUUCGCGUGAUAUGAUAAAUAAGUUGCAGCAGUUAAGACAAGGUGCUAAAAGUGUAGAAGAAUAUUAUCAGGAAUUACAAACGGGUAUGUUGCGUUGUAACCUAGAGGAGGAUGAGGAACCGGCUAUGGCUAGAUUUUUGGGUGGGUUAAAUCGUGAAAUCCAGGACAUUCUUGCUUAUAAAGAUUAUACUAACAUAACCCGUUUGUUUCAUCUUGCUUGUAAAGCUGAAAGGGAAGUGCAGGGACGACGUGCUAGCGCAAGGAGUAAUAUUUCUGCAGGGAAGGCUAAUUCAUGGCAGCAACGCGUGGCUUCAACUCCAUCUACACGUAUUUCUACUCCAUCAUCUGGUGACAAGACUCGAGCUGCCCCCACCAAUUCAGUUGCGAAGACGAUGCAAAAGCCUGCUGCGAGUACUUCAUCCGUGGCAUCGACGGGUAGAACAAGCAACAUACAAUGUCACCGGUGCAAGGGACAUGGGCACAUGAUGCGUGACUGUCCAAACAAGCGAGUUAUGAUUGUCAGGGAUGAUGGUGAGUACUCAUCUGCUAGUGAUUUUGAUGAGGAUACACUUGCACUGCUUGCGACUGACCAUGCAGGUAAUGAAGAUCAAAUAGAAGAACAUAUUAAUGCAGGUGAAGCGGACCACUAUGAGAGCUUGAUCGUGCAGCGAGUGCUUAGUGCACAAAUGGAGAUGGCGGAACAAAAUCAGCGACACAUUUUAUUCCAAACAAAGUGUGUCAUCAAAGAGCGUUCUUGUCGCAUGAUCAUUGAUGGAGGUAGCUGCAACAACUUGGCAAGCAGCGAUAUGGUGCAGAAGCUUGCCCUCAACACCAAACCACACCCGCAUCCCUACUACAUCCAAUGGCUGAACAACAGUGGUAAGGCAAAGGUAACUAGACUUGUGAGAAUUAAUUUUUCCAUCGGAUCCUACAAAGAUAUUGUUGAAUGUGAUGUUGUGCCUAUGCAAGCUUGUAACAUUCUGCUAGGUAGACCUUGGCAAUUUGAUAGAGAUUCUAUGCAUCAUGGUAGAUCAAAUCAGUAUUCUUUUCUAUACCAUGAUCGCAAAAUUGUGUUGCAUCCUAUGUCCCCUGAAACUAUUAUGCAAACUGAUGUUGCUAGGGCUACUAAAGCAAAGAGCAAGAGCAAUAAAAAUGAUAAAUCUGUAAUUGGUAACAAAGAUGAGAUAAAACUGAAAGGACGUUGUAUGAUAGCUACCAAAUCAGAUAUCAAUGAGUUCAAUGCAUCCACUUCUGUUGCUUAUGCUUUGAUAUGCAAGGAUGCUUUGAUUUCAGUUGAGGAUAUGCAAUGUUCUUUGCCCCUGCUGUUGCUAACGUUUUGCAGGAGUAUUCUGAUGUGUUUCCAAGUGAUGUACCAGCGGGGCUGCCUCCACUACGCGGGAUUGAGCACCAAAUUGAUCUUAUUCCUGGAUCAGUUUUGCCAAAUCGUGCACCAUACAGGACAAAUCCGGAGGAAACAAAGGAAAUUCAGCGACAAGUGCAAGAACUACUAGACAAAGGUUAUGUCCGAGAAUCUCUUAGUCCUUAUGCUGUUCCAGUAAUUUUAGUGCCUAAGAAAGAUCGAACAUGGCGUAUGUGUGUUGAUUGUAGAGCUAUUAAUAAUAUCACCAUUCGAUAUCGACACCCUAUUCCACGAUUAGAUGAUAUGCUAGAUGAACUGAGUGGUGCUGUUGUGUUUUCAAAAGUUGAUUUACGUAGUGGGUACCACCAGAUUCGUAUGAAAUUGGGAGAUAAAGGUAGAAAGCAAUUGAUUCUGGAACCUGGGGAUUUGGUUUGGUUGCAUUUGCGAAAAGAUAGAUUUCCAGAACUGAGAAAAUCCAAAUUGAUGCCUAGAGCUGAUGGUCCUUUUAAAGUGCUGCAACGAAUUAAUGAGAAUGCAUAUAAGCUUGAUCUUCCUGCAGAUUUUGGGGUUAGUCCCACAUUUAACAUUGCAGAUUUGAAGCCUUAUUUGGGUGAGGAAGAUGAGCUUGAGUCGAGGACGACUCAAAUGCAAGAAAGGGAGGAUGAUGAGGAUAUCAACACCAGCGAUACAUAUCCUACAUCCACCAGCGAUACAUAUCCUACAUCCACCAGCGAUACAUAUCCUACAUCCUCUCCGACACAACCUAUAGCUGGUCCUCUUACUCGUGCUCGUGCCCGUCAACUCAACCUUCAAGUAAGUUCAGCUUUAAACUCUUGUCAAUCAUAUUUAGACAAUGGAGACACGUGCACUUUGGUGUUGCUCAGGAAUAAUGGACAAGAUCAGCAAGGGAAGGUUCAACUGCAUUCAGAAUUUGAGGCAACACCAACUUCAAGGGCUGAUUGCAUAUGGGAAGAGUGAUAACUUAACAAAGGUGAUUGGAGAUCAGGUCCAAGCCUCCACAACGUCCUCUGUCAAGUUACCACGUCGUUUCUAAAGCAAGGAAACAAAGAGUCCAAACCCAACACGUUUUGGGAGUUGGAUUCGGACUGGAAAAUAACUCUAACUUGUAUGGAUCACCACGGCGUCAUAUGGACUCCAACUGGGACGUUCCUAUACUUGUUGGAAAGCUCAUGAAGUCUACUUUCCAAUGGGUCCAACCACAUAUCUAUGCGGCUUAUGAGUCGGGCGCAGUCCUUGUUUUCGUGCCGACACCUUUUUCUGUUUUGGUGCUGCGUCACCCUAUUUUGGACCAAUGGCCCAUGUAUCAAGUUGAGUCCAUUAGGGACGCGUCCUAGGGUUGGAGGACGACUCUAGCACCCUUUUGGUCGUCCUCCCCUCUAUUUAUUUACAUCUAGAGCCGCCAUGAACAACUGGGUUUUGUUUAGAUCAAGUUUAGCCUUCGCUACUUGCUUGUAGGCGCGCGUGCAGGAUCAGCCGCCCGUCUCCUUGUCUUCGGAACCCCAUUGUUGAUUAAGAUUCAGUUUAAAACCUUCAAUUCAUCUUGCAAAUUCAGUGCUUGUUUCCUCGUUCUUGCUAGUUCUUCGAUUGCUUGCAGGACGGGAGCCCUAGGGGCUGGUUGUCGCGCUCCACAAGAUCAUGACGGCUGUUGGACGUGGUGUAUCGGUUGCUAAGGCGCGGUCUUGAGGGCUGUAGUCGGGCCGUGAACGUCAUCUCCAUCCACUAAUCGAGUUAUCCAGCGCCUCUCAUCGAAAGAUCAGGCCAAAAACCCGAGCGGGCUCGCAUCAGUUGGUAUCAGAGCAAGGUUCUUCGGUGAGAGACUUCUAAUCCUUUGCUGUUUUUAAUUAAUUUCCUAUAGUCCAGAAAAGCCAAAAAAAUAUAGUAGAUUAGUUUUUCCAUAAUCCUAUUAAACCUUUGUGCUUUGGCUAGUACCGUUUUAGUUAGGGCUUGUUGAAUUUGCGUUGCUUCGGUUUGUGUCGAGUUGCUGGUCUUAGUGUCUAGUCCUUUAGAGUUUCGAGUUCUUGUCACCAUCUAUACACAGCCGAGUAUUACCAUAUCUUCUCUCUGUCGAAUCUGUUGCGAAGUCUGAAUUGAAUUGUGGUCUUGGUCCGGAUCGAGUAGAGUUCCAAUCUGAGUUCAAAAAGAAAGAUAACUCUACUUGUUCGGCCUUACUCUAGAGAGAGAGAGAGAGUGUGGAGCGAAAAAAGUGUGUGGAGCGAAUUGCUCUUUUGUAUUCUUUUGUUCAUAUAAUCAGUUUUUGAGGUUGCCCAAAAAAAAAGAAAAAAAAAGAAAAGAGAAAAGAUUCAAAAAAAGGGGCUGUUUUUCAUAUUGAUUUUAGGUUUGUCCCACCUUGUUUUCGGGGGUGUGCUGUGGUUUUCCUUUGUGUCCAGGCUCGCGUCUCUAGCAUGGUCUAGCCUAGGACCAGCACAGUACCAUCAUCGAACGCUUAUUCAGCUCGCUUUUAUAACUAACGUGGUGCUAGUUCGUUCCUUGUUUCAGCCCACCUAUAGCUCCACAUACUCUACAGCUUGACAGGUCUUGUGCUGCAGCACCGAUACACUUCGUCCAUUGCUGUACACUUGUUGGCAGACGACCCCUCCUGUCAAGCAAGGUAAGAAUUGGUAAGAACUUGUGUUACAGGUUGAGUGUGAGCGACUUGCUGUAGCUACAUCCUAGUAGUUGUAGGGCUUUUAUUUCUUCACUUGCCUUUUUAUUGUCUUUAUCUUUGAACCAUGCCAGGGGCAGAUGAUGGUAACGAAACACCACUUACACCUCGCACUAAGGGCAUCAUACAACAUUUUAAAAGGAAAGUGAAGAUGCACACAGAGGGACUUGAUAACGACUUGCAGGUGACGAAUGAAAAGCUGGGGCAGUUGGAGGCUACGCAGAUUGCCACAAACAACAAGCUCACAAGUUUGGAGGAAUCCGUUGCUAGUGUGGACAAAAGCCUUGCUGCUCUCCUAAGGCGAUUUGAUGCUUUCCACACCGAAGAUAAAGAGAAGCAUAAAGAAGAAAAGGAGGGAGAUCGAGAGCACGGUAGUCAUGAAGAUGACUACACUGGUGAUACUGAACAUGAUGAUCAAGACACUCGUGAUCGACGUCACCUUCGUCACAACCGUAGAGGUAUGGGUGGCAACCGCCGACGCGAGGUACACAAUAAUGAUGAUGCUUUCAGUAAGAUUAAAUUUAAGAUACCCCUUUUGAUGGUAAAUAUGACUCUGAUGCUUACAUCACUUGGGAGAUUGCUGUUGAUCAAAAGUUUGCAUGUCAUGAAUUUCCUGAGACUACACGUGUUAGGGCUGCUACUAGUGAGUUUACAUAUUUUGCUUCUGUUUGAUGGAUAGAAUAUGGAAAGAAAAAUCCUAAUAACUUACCUAGAACUUGGGAUGCGCUGAAAAGGGCCAUGAGAGCUAGAUUUGUUCCAUAUUACUAUGCGCGUGAUAUGAUAAAUAAGUUGCAGCAGUUAAGACAAGGUGCUAAAAGUGUAGAAGAAUAUUAUCAGGAAUUACAAAUGGGUAUGUUGCGUUGUAACCUAGAGGAGGAUGAGGAACCGGCUAUGGCUAGAUUUUUGGGUGGGUUAAAUCGUGAAAUCCAGGACAUUCUUGCUUAUAAAGAUUAUACUAACGUAACCCGUUUGUUUCAUCUUGCUUGUAAAGCUGAAAGGGAAGUGCAGGGACGACGUGCUAGCGCAAGGAGUAAUAUUUCUGCAGGGAAGGCUAAUUCAUGGCAGCAACGCGUGGCUUCAACUCCAUCUACACGUAUUUCUACUCCAUCAUCUAGUGACAAGACUCGAGCUGCCCCCACCAAUUCAGUUGCGAAGACGAUGCAAAAGCCUGCUGCGAGUACUUCAUCCGUGGCAUCGACGGGUAGAACAAGCAACAUACAAUGUCACCGGUGCAAGGGAUAUGGGCACAUGAUGCGUGACUGUCCAAACAAGCGAGUUAUGAUUGUUAGGGAUGAUGGUGAGUACUCAUCUGCUAGUGAUUUUGAUGAGGAUACACUUGCACUGCUUGCGACUGACCAUGCAGGUAAUGAAGAUCAAAUAGAAGAACAUAUUAAUGCAGGUGAAGCGGACCACUAUGAGAGCUUGAUCGUGCAGCGAGUGCUUAGUGCACAAAUGGAGAUGGCGGAACAAAAUCAGCGACACAUUUUAUUCCAAACAAAGUGUGUCAUCAAAGAGCGUUCUUGUCGCAUGAUCAUUGAUGGAGGUAGCUGCAACAACUUGGCAAGCAGCGAUAUGGUGCAGAAGCUUGCCCUCAACACCAAACCACACCCGCAUCCCUACUACAUCCAAUGGCUGAACAACAGUGGUAAGGCAAAGGUAACUAGACUUGUGAGAAUUAAUUUUUCCAUCGGAUCCUACAAAGAUAUUGUUGAAUGUGAUGUUGUGCCUAUGCAAGCUUGUAACAUUCUGCUAGGUAGACCUUGGCAAUUUGAUAGAGAUUCUAUGCAUCAUGGUAGAUCAAAUCAGUAUUCUUUUCUAUACCAUGAUCGCAAAAUUGUGUUGCAUCCUAUGUCCUCUGAAACUAUUAUGCAAACUGAUGUUGCUAGGGCUACUAAAGCAAAGAGCAAGAGCAAUAAAAAUGAUAAAUCUGUAAUUGGUAACAAAGAUGAGAUAAAACUGAAAGGACGUUGUAUGAUAGCUACCAAAUCAGAUAUUAAUGAGUUCAAUGCAUCCACUUCUGUUGCUUAUGCUUUGAUAUGCAAGGAUGCUUUGAUUUCAGUUGAGGAUAUGCAAUGUUCUUUGCCCCCUGCUGUUGCUAACGUUUUGCAGGAGUAUUCUGAUGUGUUUCCAAGUGAUGUACCAGCGGGGCUGCCUCCACUACGCGGGAUUGAGCACCAAAUUGAUCUUAUUCCUGGAUCAGUUUUGCCAAAUCGUGCACCAUACAGGACAAACCCGGAGGAAACAAAGGAAAUUCAGCGACAAGUGCAAGAACUACUAGACAAAGGUUAUGUCCGAGAAUCUCUUAGUCCUUGUGCUGUUGCAGUAAUUUUAGUGCCUAAGAAAGAUGGAACAUGGUGUAUGUGUGUUGAUUGUAGAGCUAUUAAUAAUAUCACCAUUCGAUAUCGACACCCUAUUCCACGAUUAGAUGAUAUGCUAGAUGAACUGAGUGGUGCUGUUGUGUUUUCAAAAGUUGAUUUACGUAGUGGGUACCACCAGAUUCGUAUGAAAUUGGGAGAUAAAGGUAGAAAGCAAUUGAUUCUGGAACCUGGGGAUUUGGUUUGGUUGCAUUUGCGAAAAGAUAGAUUUCCAGAACUGAGAAAAUCCAAAUUGAUGCCUAGAGCUGAUGGUCCUUUUAAAGUGCUGCAACGAAUUAAUGAGAAUGCAUAUAAGCUUGAUCUUCCUGCAGAUUUUGGGGUUAGUCCCACAUUUAACAUUGCAGAUUUGAAGCCUUAUUUGGGUGAGGAAGAUGAGCUUGAGUCGAGGAUGACUCAAAUUUAAGAAAGGGAGGAUGAUGAGGACAUCAACACCAGCGAUACAUAUCCUACAUCCACCAGCGAUACAUAUCCUACAUCCACCAGCGAUACAUAUCCUACAUCCUCUCCGACACAACCUAUAGCUGGUCCUCUUACUCGUGCUCGUGCCCGUCAACUCAACCUUCAAGUAAGUUCAGCUUUAAACUCUUGUCAAUCAUAUUUAGACAAUGGAGACACGUGCACUUUGGUGUUGCUCAGGAAUAAUGGACAAGAUCAGCAAGGGAAGGUUCAACUGCAUUCAGAAUUUGAGGCAACACCAACUUCAAGGGCUGAUUGCAUAUGGGAAGAGUGAUAACUUAACAAAGGUGAUUGAAGAUCAGGUCCAAGCCUCCACAACAUCCUCUGUCAAGUUACCACGUCGUUUCUAAAGCAAGGAAACAAAGAGUCCAAACCCAACACGUUUUGGGAGUUGGAUUCGGACUGGAAAAUAACUCUAACUUGUAUGGAUCACCACGGCGUCAUAUGGACUCCAACUGGGACGUUCCUAUACUUGUUGGAAAGCUCAUGAAGGCUACUUUCCAAUGGGUCCAACCACAUAUCUAUGCGGCUUAUGAGUCGGGCGCAGUCCUUGUUUUCGUGCCGACACCUUUUUCUGUUUUGGUGCUGCGUCACCCUAUUUUGGACCAAUGGCCCAUGUAUCAAGUUGAGUCCAUUAGGGACGCGUCCUAGGGUUGGAGGACGACUCUAGCACCCCUUUGGUCGUCCUCCCCUCUAUUUAUUUACAUCUAGAGCCGCCAUAAACAACUGGGUUUUGUUUAGAUCAAGUUUAGCCUUCGCUACUUGCUUGUAGGCGCGCGUGCAGGAUCAGCCGCCCGCCUCCUUGUCUUCGGAACCCCAUUGUUGAUUAAGAUUCAGUUUAAAACCUUCAAUUCAUCUUGCAAAUUCAGUGCUUGUUUCCUCGUUCUUGCUAGUUCUUCGAUUGCUUGCAGGACGGGAGCCCUAGGGGCUGGUUGUCGCGCUCCACAAGAUCGUGACGGCUGUUGGACGUGGUGUAUCGGUUGCUAAGGCGCGGUCUUGAGGGCUGUAGUCGGGCCGUGAACGUCAUCUCCAUCCACUAAUCGAGUUAUCCACCGCCUCUCAUCGAAAGAUCAGGCCAAAAACCCUAGCGGGCUCGCAUCAGUUGGUAUCAGAGCAAGGUUCUUCGGUGAGAGACUUCUAAUCCUUUGCUGUUUUUAAUUAAUUUCCUAUAGUCCAGAAAAGCCAAAAAAAUAUAGUAGAUUAGUUUUCCAUAAUCCUAUUAAACCUUUGUGCUUUGGCUAGUACCGUUUUAGUUAGGGCUUGUUGAAUUUGCGUUGCUUCGGUUUGUGUCGAGUUGCUGGUCUUAGUGUCUAGUCCUUUAGAGUUUCGAGUUCUUGUCACCAUCUAUACACAGCCGAGUAUUACCAUAUCUUCUCUCUGUCGAAUCUGUUGCGAAGUCUGAAUUGAACUGUGGUCUUGGUCCGGAUCGAGUAGAGUUCCAAUCUGAGUUCAAAAAGAAAGAUAACUCUACUUGUUCGGCCUUACUCGAGAGAGAGAGAGAGAGUGUGGAGCGAAAAAAGUGUAUGGAGCGAAUUGCUCUUUUGUAUUCUUUUGUUCAUAUAAUCAGUUUUUGAGGUUGCCCAAAAAAAAAGAAAAAAAAAAGAAAAAAAAGAAAAGAGAAAAGAUUCAAAAAAAGGGGCUGUUUUUCAUAUUGAUUUUAGGUUUGUCCCACCUUGUUUUCGGGGGUGUGCUGUGGUUUUCCUUUGUGUCUAGGCUCGCGUCUCUAGCACGGUCUAGCCUAGGACCAGCACAGUACCAUCGUCGAACGCUUAUUCAGCUCGCUUUUAUAACUAACGUGGUGCUAGUUCGUUCCUUGUUUCAGCCCACC